Non-coding RNA from Saimiri boliviensis boliviensis (Bolivian squirrel monkey), 605 nucleotides. The record is from RefSeq and is a predicted model, not a curated record. Lineage: Eukaryota; Metazoa; Chordata; Mammalia; Primates; Cebidae.
CUCUGUCACAGUCCCCAGCUGGAGUGCAGUGGCGGGAUCUCCGCGCCCCGGGUUCCAUGUCUCCGGCCUCCGCCUCCACGUGGCCUCCGUGCCGGCCGACUCCUUCCCAGAGGCGGGCUCUCCCUCUGUGACCCCGGCUGCAGUACAGUGGUGUGGCCGCAGCUCACCGCAGCCUCAGCCUCUGGGGCUGGAACGACCUUCCUGAGGGACGUGCUCCUGAGGGACGUGCUCGCUCUCCGUGUCCACACCGGCGAGCGGUUGGAAGGUUCUGGAGGCUGAAAGUCUGAGUGCCAAUACGGCAGAUUUCUGGUGAUGGCCCUCUUUCCAGCUUACAGAGUGCUGCAUUCUUACUGUGUCCUCACAUGGAGGGGAGAGGAACAGAGGAUAGUUGACGAAAAGCCAAAAAGAUGGAAGAGGACACAUGCUGGGAGUGAGGUGUGGGGAGAAGAGGAAAACAAAUGUCAAAGUCGGCUACAAAAAUCAAGAAAAAUAAAGUAGAGUAAGUGAUAAAUAGCCUAUAAAGGAGAUAAUUAUGUAUAUAUUCUAGAGCAGGGGCCCUCGACCUCUGGUACAGUCCAUGGCCUGUUAAGACCACACAGCAGGAG